CGCCUUGAAUAUACGCCACAUCCUUCCCGCUACGCCACUUGAUUGUUAACUUAUAUACGCAGUUCUCUUUUUUCUCUGUUUCCUGCCUUGCUGUAUCCCUUAUUCUGCCUUAAUACUCCCUUAUCUCCUUCCUACUACGCCUUGAAUAUACGCCACUUCCUUCCCGCUACGCCACUUGAUUGUUAACUUAUAUACGCAGUUCUCUUUUUUCUCUGUUUCCUGCCUUGCUGUAUUCCUUGUUCCGCCUUAAUACUCCCUUAUCUCCUUGCUUCUACGCCUUGAAUAUACGCCACUUCCUUCCCCGGCCUAGUCUUCCUUAUGACCAAUCCGGCAAACCUCCGUAAUAUUUUUGCCACCCCUUAUCUACAGAGAACAUACUGCAUACUUAUAGGAGCAGUGAGUAGAGGCCUUUUUCUUUUCAUUAUUGUUUCCUUCCUUUUUUUGGCCCUUGAACUGUUUCCUUUGCUGUAAAAAAAAAAAUAUCGGCAAAGGGAGGAGGAGAAGGAGGAGGAGGAGGAGGAGGAGAGGAGGAGUAAGAGGCCGGCUGUCAGCGUGUGUAAGGAGCUAAGGGGUGAACGGUUACUGUUAUAUUGAUACAGUGUGCCCAUUCAUAAUCCCGCGACGCCUCUCUGCAUAUGGCACCGUUGAGGGGGAGAAGGGGAAUGUAUGCAACAGUGGCGGCGGCGGCGGCGGCGGUGGAGGAGGGGGGAAGGGAUGCCGGGGAUGUUAAAUAAGGAUUCUGGGAGGUGGAGAGGCGACAGUGUGGAACUAGAUGAGGGUGGGAAGAGGAAUGUGAUGGUGGUAGAAAGGUGAGGGAACGUAAAUAAGGAUUGUAGAAGGUGGGAGAUGAGAGAAGUAUGAUGGUAUAUAGUGGAGGGGAAAUGGACCGUAAGUAAGGGAUGUGGAAGGUGGAGAGGCGACAGUGUGGAACUAGAUGAGGGUGGGAAGAGGAAUGUGAUGGUGGUAGAAAGGUGAGGGAACAUAAAUAAGGAUUGUAGAAGGUGGAUAAGCGACAGAUAGGACUAAACGGGGGAGAGGAGAGAAAUAUGAAGGAAGUGGAGAGGAAAUGGGACGUAAAUAAGGACUGUGGGAGGUGGAAAGGCGACACCGUGGACCCAUAACUACGGGAGGGAAGAGGAAAGAAAGGUGGAAAGUUUCGUUUAGUCGGCGCAACAUCUGUGGUCAUAUGCCGGAGAGAGACAGAAGGGGAAGGAAUUAUAGGAGGUGGAAAGGGAGAGAAGAGGAAUAUGACAGUAGUAGAACGGUGAUAGAUCGUAAACAAGGACUAUGAGGGCGUGGAGGAGUGACAUAUGGGACAAAAUAAGAACAGAAGAACAUAAUGAAAGGGUGACAUAAGCGUUAACAAAGCUUCUGGGAGGUAGUAACAUAACAGCUGGGGCUUAGUAUGGGAGAGGUGAGAAGAAUGCCAUGCUAGUGAAAGGCUGAGAGAAGCAUAAAUAAGGAUUCUCACACGUGCAUGGAGAGGUGACAUUAUGGAACUAGUGAAAGGCUGAGAGAAGCAUAAAUAAGGAUUCUCACACGUGCAUGGAGAGGUGACAUUAUGGAACUAGUGAAAGGCUGAGAGAAGCAUAAAUAAGGAUUCUCACACGUGCAUGGAGAGGUGACAUUAUGGAACUAGUGAAAGGCUGAGAGAAGCAUAAAUAAGGAUUCUCACACGUGCAUGGAGAGGUGAUAUUAUGGAACUAGUGAAAGGCUGAGAGAAGCAUAAAUAAGGAUUCUCACAGGUGCAUGGAGAGGUGACAUUAUGGAACUAGUGAAAGGCUGAGAGAAGCAUAAAUAAGGAUUCUCACAGGUGCAUGGAGAGGUGACAUUAUGGAACUAGUGAAAGGCUGAGAGAAGCAUAAAUAAGGAUUCUCACAGGUGCAUGGAGGUGACAUUAUGGAACUAGUGAAAGGCUGAGAGAAGCAUAAAUAAGGAUUCUCACAGGUGCAUGGAGAGGUGACAUUAUGGAACUAGUGAAAGGCUGAGAGAAGCAUAAAUAAGGAUUCUCACAGGUGCAUGGAGAGGUGACAUUAUGGAACUAGUGAAAGGCUGAGAGAAGCAUAAAUAAGGAUUCUCACAGGUGCAUGGAGAGGUGACAUUAUGGAACUAGUGAAAGGCUGAGAGAAGCAUAAAUAAGGAUUCUCACACGUGCAUGGAGAGGUGAUAUUAUGGAACUAGUGAAAGGCUGAGAGAAGCAUAAAUAAGGAUUCUCACAGGUGCAUGGAGAGGUGACAUCGUGCAACUAAAGUGAAAGGAGGAAACAUAAUGGGACUAAGGUGGAGAGGUGACAUUAAGUAUACUAAGGUGAGAGGAGAAAGCUGUACCGGUGGAAGCGUUGAUUAAUAAAGGUUAGGAAGGAAAGACAGAGGGAUGCAGUGAAGAAGAGAAAAGGAAUAAAGGUCGGUACUUUAAGACACUUUCGCUCCUAACAUCAGCUAUUUCUUAAGGUCGAAGAGGGGGUCAGUCGGGUUCUAAUGAGUGUUUCUUCAGGUUCAUGGUACAGAGGAAGGGUCAAACUACCACCAGGGUCAUGAAACUACUCCUGGAAAUGCCCACAACUCCUAGGACAGCCUUGUCAAAUAGGUGUUCUUGGGCAACGAAAUAUCUUGUAAUACGACCCAUAAUGUCACUGGUAGAAUGUAAGUAAUGGUUGCGGAAGGAAGAAAUGACAGCGGGAUAAAGAGAAGAAGAGGAAAGGAAUGUAAGAGAAAUGAAAGAACGUUUGUAAUGGCUGCAGAAGGAGGAACAGACAGCGGAAUGGAGUGAGCAAGAAAAAAAGGAAUAUAUUGUCACUAGCAGAACGUUUUUACUAAGGCCUGCGGAAGAAAGAACAGAGAGGGGAAUGGAGUGAAGAAGAGGAAAAAGAUGUAAGGUCACUAGCAGAACGUUUUUACUAAGGCCUGCGGAAGGAAGGAAAGACAGGGGAAUGGAGUGCAUAAGAAGAUAGGAAUGUAAGGUCACUAGCAGAACGUUUUUAAGGCCUGCGGAAGGAAGGAAAGACAGGGGGAUGGAGUGCAUAAGAAGGUAGGAAUGUAAGGUCACUAGUAAACACUGUGGGAGGUGGAGGAAGGGCAGCUGAAUGACGUGAAUAAGAAAGGAAUGUAAGGUCACGGGCUAAAUGUUAAUAAGGGUUUUGGGAGGCGAGGGUGGUGACAUGAUGCAGUGGAGUGAGGAGCAGGAAAGGAAUGUAAGGUCACGGGCUAAAUGUUAAUAAGGGUUUUGGGAGGCGAGGGUGGUGACAUGAUGCAAGGGAGUGAGGAGCAGGAAAGGAAUGUAAGGUCACGGGCUAAAUGUUAAUAAGGGUUUUGGGAGGCGAGGGUGGUGACAUGAUGCAAGGGAGUGAGGAGCAGGAAAGGAAUGUAAGGUCACGGGCUAAAUGUUAAUAAGGGUUUUGGGAGGCGAGGGUGGUGACAUGAUGCAGUGGAGUGAGGAGCAGGAAAGGAAUGUAAGGUCAGUGGAGGAGCGUCAAUAAAAGGUGCGGCAGGUAGAGAAGCGACGGCGUAAGGAAGUGGAGAAUUAGAAGAAAGGAAUGUAAGGUGAGUGAGGGCACUGAGGACUGCGUGGAGGAGCACUGCUGAGGGCUGCGGCAGGUGUGAGCGUCGGCAGGGCGGGGGCGGAGUGGGCUGGAGGGAGGGGAGGAGGACACAGAGGAGCAGGCUUGGAGUAAUUACAUAAUUCAUAGGUCAUUACAAUUACCAUUGCUCUUCCAGAUUUUCAAUUGUAACUUCAAUACAAUUACUUCGGGAUGAUUACAAAUUACAAUUACUGAUACAUAUAAUUUGUAUUGAAUUUAUUUAUUCAAUUCUAUACUGUACUAAUGAUGAAAUUAUUAUUUGAUGUUGAAACUUCGAAUCAUUUUAAUUAUUAUAAAUACUUGAACAGCGCGCAAGACCACCCGUGGUUUAUUUUCAAUGACUGUCCGACAAAUGCAGAACACGUCCAACGGUCGCCAAAUCCGCCACAGGCUGCCUGACCCUGCCAAAGGUUGAGGCGACAGGCAGGUUACAAAUGAGCUUCAAUUCACACAAUGUAUCCAUAAUGUUGUCACCGAGAUUAGCUGACAAUGAAAAAUAAUACUUGCUGGGCUAAAUUUAUGCUUUGUGAUCCGUACAGCUCAAUUAAGGCUCAAUUAUUAAAACUAUGAUUGCUUAUAAAUGUAACAGCUCCAUUACAAUCAUUCUUUUUUUUAGAUAAUUACAUGAAUUCAGUUACAACUGGCACUGCUCCAAGCUCUGAGAGGGGAUCUGCGUCGGAGAUGGAAGGCAGAAGGGAGGGUGGCACAGGGAGGGGAGGAGGAAAGGCUGCAGAGAGAGAGGGAGGGGGAGACAGAGAAGGCUCCAGCGGUUCCCUACGGGGAGACAAGUAUUUCUGGUUCUGUAAUAUACGUCAACCCUUCCCCUGGCCCCUUCAUAGCUGUCUCUCUCUCUCUCUCU
This is a long non-coding RNA of Eriocheir sinensis (Chinese mitten crab), 4436 nucleotides long. RefSeq lists it as uncharacterized. The record is from RefSeq and is a predicted model, not a curated record. The transcript has 3 exons. NCBI's taxonomy places the organism in Eukaryota, Metazoa, Arthropoda, Malacostraca, Decapoda, Varunidae.